ACACUCUGUUUUGUAUGAGUUCCCAACUUCAUUUUAAUAUAUAAAAGCAUUCAGCUCUUUCAGCCGACCAGUCACUGUAUAUUCCAUCUAUUCGGCUCAUCAGCCGACCCAAACUUCAGUGUUUUUCGUACAUUCGGCUCAUCCAGCCGAACCGAUUCCACAUUAGAUAUUUUCGAACUCAGCUGAUCCGAUCUCUCAUCAGCCGAAUCGCUUGAUCCAGUCGAAGGGCGCAAACAUUGAGGGUCACUA
Molecule: long non-coding RNA, 249 nt
Filed under: Ananas comosus (pineapple)
Lineage: Eukaryota; Viridiplantae; Streptophyta; Magnoliopsida; Poales; Bromeliaceae
Description: long non-coding RNA (ACOM_LNC044039)
Source: RNAcentral